Molecule: ribosomal RNA, 397 nt
Filed under: uncultured bacterium
Lineage: Bacteria
Description: partial 16S ribosomal RNA
Rfam family: Bacterial small subunit ribosomal RNA
Source: RNAcentral
AUACGUAGGUGACAAGCGUUAUCCGGAUUUACUGGGCGUAAAGGGCGUGUAGGCGGUCUUGCAAGUCAGAAGUGAAAUUCCUGAGCUCAACUCGGGCGCUGCUUCUGAAACUGCAGGACUUGAGUGCUGGAGGGGAUAGCGGAAUUCCUAGUGGAGCGGUAAAAUGCGCAGAUAUUAGGAAGAACACCGGUGGCGAAGGCGGCUAUCUGGACAGUAACUGACGCUGAGGCGCGAAAGCGUGGGGAGCAAACAGGAUUAGAUACCCUGGUAGUCCACGCCGUAAACGAUGGAUACUAGGUGUAGGGGGUAUCGACCCCCUCUGUGCCGGAGUUAACGCAAUAAGUAUCCCGCCUGGGGAGUACGUGCGCAAGCAUGAAACUCAAAUGAAUUGACGGGG